Molecule: long non-coding RNA, 436 nt
Filed under: Vulpes vulpes (red fox)
Lineage: Eukaryota; Metazoa; Chordata; Mammalia; Carnivora; Canidae
Description: lncRNA (ENSVVUG00000030188.1)
Source: RNAcentral
ACAACAUGAAUCCUGAUCAUUUUACAGCAGUAAAUUAUGAAGCACUACACUAGCUGUGUCUCCCCAUGGAAGCCAGGGCCCAGCUCAUUAAAGUAUUAAAAAAAAAAAAAAAAAGAAGAAGAAAGAAAGAAAGAAAGAAAAAAAAGCAACCUUGGUGGGUUCCACUGCUCCUAGAAAGGCUCCCUGACAAGUUCUGCAGCGAGUGCAUGCUGGCAUGUGGAAUUCCUCAUUUCAGCAGCAACUUCAACAAAACAUGCUUCCUUUUCCGUGAUUAGAAUCGAAGCCAUGUACUAAGAGGACUUCAGUUGUAAGCUUCACCUACCACAGGCUCCUUGCCCAAGGUGGGGCUUGAACUCAUGACCAUGAGAUCAAGAUUCUGACAGUUCACGGCAUUUUACCAACUGAGCCAGCCAGCAUCCCGAUGAGGCACUUUUUU